RNAcentral lists this transfer RNA (86 nucleotides) under Acetilactobacillus jinshanensis. It matches the Rfam family "tRNA". Rfam says of the family: Transfer RNA (tRNA) molecules are approximately 80 nucleotides in length. Their secondary structure includes four short double-helical elements and three loops (D, anti-codon, and T loops). Lineage: Bacteria; Bacillati; Bacillota; Bacilli; Lactobacillales; Lactobacillaceae. The record is from Rfam by way of RNAcentral. RNAcentral also lists the same sequence under 1 other name.
GCCGAAGUGGCGGAAUUGGCAGACGCGUUGGAUUCAAAAUCCAGUGGCCUUUGCGGGCCGUAUGGGUUCGAGCCCCAUCUUCGGCA